This is an RNA transcript of Microtus ochrogaster (prairie vole), 3029 nucleotides long. It is a transcript of the gene named nucleoporin 42, with no coding region annotated. The record is from RefSeq and is a predicted model, not a curated record. NCBI's taxonomy places the organism in Eukaryota, Metazoa, Chordata, Mammalia, Rodentia, Cricetidae.
UCGGUUGUUGGAAACUGUGACUUCCCUGCUGGCCUGAAGACCGUGGGCUGGUACGUCGCUACGAUGACCAUUUGCCAGUUUUUCCUCCAAGGCCGGUGCCGAUUCGGAGACCGCUGCUGGAACGAGCAUCCCGGCACCCGGGGUGCGGGCGGAGCCCGGCAGCCGCCACCACAGCAGCCGCCGCCGCCCUCAGGGAUUAACAGGCGUGGUGGGUGGAAUGCCAGCAGCCAGAGAUACUCCAGUGUCAUCCAGCCAUCCAGUUUCUCCAAGUCUACACCAUGGGGUGGCAGCAGAGAUCAAGACAAACCAUUAUUCGGCUCUUUUGAUUCUGGGGCUUCCACCAGCAGAGGCUUUGGAUCAUCUCAAAAUCCUUUUGCUUCGCUUAUCUCUGAAGAGCAGAAAGAUGAAAAGAAACUGCUGGAAGGAAUUGUUAAAGAUGUAGAGAUUUGGGAAUCAUCGGGGCAGUGGAUGUUCUCUGUUUACUCACCAGUGAAAAAGAAACCUAACAUUUCAGGUUUCACAGAUAUUUCACCAGAAGAGUUGAGGCUUGAAUACCAUAACUUCUUAACCAGCAAUAACUUACAGAGCUAUCUAAAUUCUGUUCAACAGCUAGUCAGUCAGUGGAAGAAUAGGAUAAAUGAACUGAAAAAUCUCAAUAUGUCAACCAAAGGAACUCUGCUCACUGAUGUAAAGGGUGGAGCCAGUCAAGCAGCGCCUGCAUUUGGGUUUGGAAGUAAGCAAACAGGGACGUUUGGGUCAUCAGGUUUUCCAGUGAAUAGCAGCAGCAGUAACGUUCAGAACUUUAGUUUUAAAACGAACUCUGGAUUUGCCACUGCCCCUUCUGGAAGCACGCCUGUAUUUGGGAGUCCCUCAGCCUUUGGGGCCGGGCCCUCUGCUGGUUCUACCAUCGCUUCCUCCGCUCCAGCCUUUGGGUUUGGGAAGCCUGAAGCCACAUCUGCUGUUCCAUUUUCCUUCAAGAGCCCUGAUGCUUCCGGUUUUGGAUCACCUGGAUUUUCAGGGUUUCCAGCUUCCUUGGCAGGGAGUCCUUUCGGCCCUGCGGUGACCCCUGCCUUCGGAAGUGGCAGUUCUGUGGCUGGUUUUGGUAGUCCUGGCCCACAGUCUCAAUCUGUAUUUGCCAAGCCUUCUAAUGACUUGUUUGGAGGUAGCAGCAUAUCACCCUCCUUCCCUGUCUCGGCCACAAAUAAUGCACUAUUCACACCUAGGGAUCAGCUGACUAAAGAGGAGCUGGGCCAGUUCCAGUCCCAGAAAUUUACUCUGGGAAAAAUCCCACUGAAGCCACCACCUGUGGAACUUCUGACUGUAUAAAGGGCAGUUUCAGCUACAGAACGGCUUUAGCCAGGCAUAUGGUGCUUGCCUAUACUCUGGGAGACUGAGAGAAGGGAUGCCACAAACUCAGGGCCAGCCUGAACUGCACAGAGUGCUGGAACCAUGAUCUUCAUUUUCUAAAUGAAAAUACCAAGAUCUGGAGAUGUUAAAUGCCCAUCUGAGACCAAUCAACUAAUAAGAGGCUGAAUUGGAUUCUGACACCUGGCCUAGAAGCCUUGCCUUGUCACCACCAUGGUGGUUGCUUCUGGGUCAUGAGGAUUCCUCUUUUUUGUCAGUAUUUUUUGCACACCUUGCCUUAGGGAUGUGUUUUACGGGUUUCCUCUUAUGAGCAUUCACUUCAGUAGAACUGUGUAAUUAGUGAAGCUCAGUGUCCUGAGAUACAAGGUGAAGGAAGUGCUCCCAGGAGAUACGGAACUCUUCAGUCUUCCCCCAAGCUCCAUCCUUUUCAAUUGCUCUCAGAUGAGGACCAAGUCCUCCUGCCCGUCCAUGCAGAGGAAAGAGAACAUGAGAAUGCCAAAGAUUGAGUGGAGGCAUGGGCGCAGGGAGCUCACACAGCAGGGUGAGUGUGUCUUUGGUGUGAUGCUGGCUGGAGGCCAGCGCUGGGCCAUGUAACUACUCCACGUCUCAGAGCCAGCUUCUAAACAAAGGGACACUUGUACCUGUGAAGACUGGGUUUGAGCCUCCCUCCCAGCUGCCAAAGGUGUGAGCUGCCCUGCCACUCCCUCCCCACCAGGAUGGCCUGAAAACUGGAAGCUGUGAAGCAGUCACGAGGUAGCCAGCACUGCGUGGGUGCUGCUCUGGGCGCCUCAGAACUAGAGAGGAACCCUGCCAGACAGCACUGCCAACGCCCUGAGUCGCCUCUGCUCUCCGAGCCAGUUUUAUGGUGUUUGAUGCUACUGAACCUACAAGCCCAGCACCAACCCAGAGAUGAAUUUCACAAGACAGGCCAGGGAAGGGAAACUUUACAGGGAGAAGCACCACCUUAUGCCGCUGGAUGAUAGGGAAGACGGUCGGCCUUGGCUCUAGAACUCCAGCUUUCUAAGUGGCCACAGAGCUUCUAACUAGCCAGAGCUGAGACGGAAAUAAACUGCCACAGGGAGGAAAACUCAGGAGGGGAGAAAGACUGCGGGAUGAUUCUGCCGCCUGGCCUCAGGUAUUUGUCUGGGUAGAGACCCCAGCCUUCAGUCCCUGCUCUUCCUCACCUCUGAAACUGACUCUGCUUCUCCAAGCCUCGCCUGCCUGCAGCACGGUUCCCACCACCUCCUGCUCCAGUCGCAGUGCUUGCCCAGCCCCGCCAUCUCCAGGCUGGUCCUCACCCAUGCCAACACCUGUCAGCGGCAGUCCCUCUUCCCAAGCCUCCCUCAAAAUGUCCACUCAGGCUGCAGGAUCUCCUUCCAGGAAGAGAUCAGUGCAAGCCUCGUGGUCCAGAGCAUACCCUUGUUCUGCUUCUGUCAAGGCUCACACGUGUCACGUGUGAAACCCCCACCAGAGCCAGCAUAUCUCUAUCCCCAGUGUGUCCCCUGGAGCCCUGCAGCCUGGGUGGCUGCUGACUAGUCUGACACCAACCACGAGGCUGCUUUUCCCAGCACCCCAGUAUAAGGAAACAGCAGCCGUGGUUGUCACACUUUCUCAUGGAGUCUCUGUUUCGCUGAUAUUUUUUAUUAAAUUUACUUUUUAUGUUU